UGGCAAGUCGAGGGGCAGCGUGACGGGUAGCAAUACCUGUUGACGGCGACCGGCGCACGGGUGCGUAACGCGUAUGUAACCUACCGUUCACAGGGGGAUAGUCAGAGGAAACUUUGAAUAAUACCGCAUAAAACAGGGGUCCGGCAUCGGAAUAUUUGUUAAAGGUGGCGACACGGUGAACGAUGGGCAUGCGUUCGAUUAGAUAGUUGGAGAGGUAACGGCUCACCAAGUCUACGAUCGAUAGGGGGUCUGAGAGGAUUAUCCCCCACACUGGUACUGAGAUACGGACCAGACUCCUACGGGAGGCAGCAGUGAAGAAUAUUGGGCAAUGGGCGAAAGCCUGACCCAGCCAUGCCGUGUGCAGGAAGACGGCCCUAUGGGUUGUAAACUGCUUUUACUCGGGAAGAAUAAGGGUUACGUGUAACCCGAUGACGGUACCAAAAGAAUAAGCAUCGGCUAACUCCGUGCCAGCAGCCGCGGUAAUACGGAGGAUGCGAGCGUUAUCCGGAAUUAUUGGGUUUAAAGGGUCCGCAGGCGGACAGGUAAGUCAGUAGUGAAAAACCUGGGCUUAACCCCGGUCGUGCUACAGAAACUGCCUGACUAGAGAAAGUUUGGCG
This 617-nucleotide ribosomal RNA is filed under the name uncultured bacterium. Its description in RNAcentral is "bacterial SSU rRNA". It matches the Rfam family "Bacterial small subunit ribosomal RNA", at positions 55 to 657 of the family's 1533-position model. The record is from RNAcentral.